RNAcentral lists this long non-coding RNA (377 nucleotides) under Paramuricea clavata. Lineage: Eukaryota; Metazoa; Cnidaria; Anthozoa; Malacalcyonacea; Plexauridae. The record is from RNAcentral.
CUCUACAUCAGCUGUUGGUAGGCCUUUGUAAACUUUUUAAGCUUUAUCUAUAACUUCUAAAUUCCACUAAGCUUUUGCAAUAAAGUUUGUUGUUGUUUUUAUUUUGAGUUUGCUCGUCCAUUCGUUGCUGCAAAUCUAUAUCAAACUUUUCAUUUUCGCAUUAUGCUGAGUUUCCCAUUCACUUAAAUUCACUUACGGAUAUUUCUUUAAAGAUUUUUGGCUUCUUUAUGCGAAGAGUCGAAGGCAAUAGCAAAAACUGCGAGUUGAAUUUGACUUUUGUCAGUUGAUUCAGUUUUAAACUGUUUGAAAUUUGUUCCUCGACCUUGCACUUUUGUUCAAAACAAUUUUAAGAACAUUUUGUCCCAAGUUUUGAUUGG